Molecule: long non-coding RNA, 1443 nt
Filed under: Nicotiana benthamiana
Lineage: Eukaryota; Viridiplantae; Streptophyta; Magnoliopsida; Solanales; Solanaceae
Description: long non-coding RNA (NBEN_LNC011713)
Source: RNAcentral
ACUCAACAAAUUUCAUGGGAUAACCCAGCCCAUGGAAUAUCCUUGUCUAUCCCCCAAGGUAACCAAAGAUCUCUUUGGGAAUUACCAUGCAAGUUUUCUGCAGCUGACCUCAGAUAUCACAUGCUAGUAGAACAAAGAUGGUCUCAGAAUAAAACACACAGCCACGCAUAUCCUCGGCUGAUGAGCACCCAGUGCAACUUAAAUGAUUCUGAGUGUCAUAAGCCUCGUACUAAUUUCUGGGGCUGCAACUAAGCACAUUAUUUGAUAGGUUGUCUCUCAAACUUUACUUCACAGAUGCCACUUCUUUUAAAUAACAGUGGUGUCUGGACCAGUAUUUGCUCGCCUGUGCAACUUAAAUGAUUCUGAGUGUUAUAUGUCUCGUACUAAUUUCUGGGGCUGCGACUAAGCACAUUAUUUGAUAGGUUGUCUCUCAAACUUUACUUCACAGAUGCCACUUCUUUUAAAUAACAGUGGUGUCUGGACCAGUAUUUGCACACCUUGAUUAUUCGACUAGGUACCUGCUACCUCCCAUUAGCAUAGCUACCAGACAACUCUGCCAUCAAUGCUAAGGCGUGGGAUUUGAAUCCCGGUCUGCACCCACUUCAUAGUCUAUAGGUCACACCUUUAGGUGCUAGAUGUAACAUAUUCGUAACGAAAAUACUCUACCUUUAACAAUUUGAUUGACAAGACACUUACGAAGUCAAAGAUUAGAAUGUAAAUUCUGUUUUACUCCAAAUCCUAGUGCUAGAUAUUGAAAGAUGGUAAAAUUUUGACCUCAUGCUUCUUUACACAUGAUACAUAAAAGCGAAAGUAAGAGUUAGCAGUCACAAUUAAGAAAAUGCAAAUACAUCACAGGUAAGUUUGAGAGUUGGGCAAGUAAUUACUGCAAUAAAGCAACUUGAAAUCAAUAUGGAUUCAUAGGAGAGUAGCCAGUAGCCACACAAACACCCAAAAACUCAACGGCUUGAGUUCGAGAAGAUAUUCAAGUAGCAAUGUAUAGGAUAGAUAUUGAUUGAUGGCAGAGAUCUGUCAUUCACAUAUAUUUAGCAACUCAUGGUUACUAGCAUUGCAAUAGUUGGUGAGGUCAAAUGCACUGCUACAAGUAGUUUGAAGUUCAAAGACUGAGAUCUCACUGGAAGUGAUACCAACAAAAUUUCAAAAUAUUCAAGAAACUUUGAUUGAACUACAAUCAACUUUCUUUUUUUCCAGAUGGAAAUUUUUUAGGUGUAUGCUUUACUGCUCAACUUUCUUUUUUUCCAGAUGGAAAUUCAUUAGUUGAAAAUGGAACGCAAGAACAUUCAGUAAAAAGACAGGAAAAGGGAAAUCCUUGCCAGUGAUUAUGUUUUAACCAAUUAUCUUCCCCCACCCCCCAACCCUCCCCAAAACAAAUUCCCACAUCCAUGCAUCAUAAAACCAAACUAAAAGAGAAUUAAUUGAAACAUA